Molecule: ribosomal RNA, 459 nt
Filed under: uncultured bacterium
Lineage: Bacteria
Description: bacterial SSU rRNA
Rfam family: Bacterial small subunit ribosomal RNA
Source: RNAcentral
AAGCUUUGCUUCUUUCAAAUCUAGUGGCAAACGGGUGAGUAACNCGUAAACAACCUGCCUUCAGGAUGGGGACAACAGACGGAAACGACUGCUAAUACCGAAUACGUUCCUUAGGUCGCAUGAUCUUAGGAAGAAAGGGUGGCCUCUACCUGUAAGCUAUCGCUUUGAGAUGGCCUCGCGUCCGAUUAGCUGGUUGGUGAGGUAACGGCCCACCAAGGCGACGAUCGGUAGCCGGACUGAGAGGUUGAACGGCCACAUUGGGACUGAGACACGGCCCAAACUCCUACGGGAGGCAGCAGUGGGGAAUCUUCCGCAAUGGGCGCAAGCCUGACGGAGCAACGCCGCGUGAGUGAAGAAGGUUUUCGGAUCGUAAAGCUCUGUUGAGAGGGACGAGAGAUAUAAUCAGGAAAUGGGUUAUGGAGGACGGUACCUUUCGAGGAAGCCACGGCUAACUACGUG